RNAcentral lists this ribosomal RNA (475 nucleotides) under uncultured bacterium. RNAcentral describes it as "bacterial SSU rRNA". It matches the Rfam family "Bacterial small subunit ribosomal RNA", at positions 26 to 518 of the family's 1533-position model. The record is from RNAcentral.
AGGACGAACGCUGGCGGCGUGCCUAACACAUGCAAGUCGAGCGAGGAGAUCCUCGGGAUGAUCCUAGCGGCGGACGGGUGAGUAACACGUGGGCAACCUGCCUCAUAGAGAGGAAUAGCCUUCCGAAAGGGAGAUUAAUACCUCAUAACAUUGCAGUUUCGCAUGAAACAGCAAUUAAAGGAGCAAUCCGCUAUGAGAUGGGCCCGCGGCGCAUUAGCUAGUUGGUGAGGUAACGGCUCACCAAGGCGACGAUGCGUAGCCGACCUGAGAGGGUCGAUCGGCCACAUUGGGACUGAGACACGGCCCAGACUCCUACGGGAGGCAGCAGUGGGGAAUAUUGCACAAUGGGGGAAACCCUGAUGCAGCCAACGCCGCGUGAGUGAUGACGGCCUUCGGGUUGUAAAGCUCUGUCUUCAGGGACGAUAAUGACGGUACCUGAGGAGGAAGCCACGGCUAACUACGUGCCAGCAGCUGC